UCCUGUGUAAGUUAAGAAAACUAUAGACCUGUGGAGUCUAAAAUCACAUGAGUGCUAGGAU
Molecule: transfer RNA, 61 nt
Filed under: Bulla sp. TLT-2006
Lineage: Eukaryota; Metazoa; Mollusca; Gastropoda; Cephalaspidea; Bullidae
Description: tRNA-His
Source: RNAcentral